UACGGGGGGGAGCAAGCGUUGUUCGGAUUUACUGGGCGUAAAGGGCGCGUAGGCGGCCAGCACAAGUCAGUUGUGAAAUCUCCGAGCUUAACUCGGAAAGGUCAACUGAUACUGUGCGGCUAGAGUGCGGAAGGGGCAACUGGAAUUCUUGGUGUAGCGGUGAAAUGCGUAGAUAUCAAGAGGAACACCUGCGGCGAAGGCGGGUUGCUGGGCUGAUACUGACGCUGAGGCGCGAAAGCCAGGGGAGCGAACGGG
Molecule: ribosomal RNA, 255 nt
Filed under: uncultured bacterium
Lineage: Bacteria
Description: partial 16S ribosomal RNA
Rfam family: Bacterial small subunit ribosomal RNA
Source: RNAcentral